CGCCUUUCGAUAAAUAAAUAUGAAAGGUCCUGCCUGCCCAGUGAUAAUUAUUUAACGGCCGCGGUAUCAUGACCGUGCAAAGGUAGCAUAAUCACUUGUCUUUUAAAUUGAGACCAGCAUGAAUGGCAAAACGAAAGCCAAACUGUCUCCUUAAGCCAGUCAAUGAAAUUGAUCUUCCCGUGCAGAAGCGGGAGUAAAAAUAUAAGACGAGAAGACCCUAUGGAGCUUAAAAAUAAGGCUAUAUAGACACUAUAAUAACAUUAAAUUUAGGUUGGGGCGACCAUGAGGUAAAAUAUAACCCUCAAGAUAAUAAUUAGAAGGACACUUCAAAUUAAAAUAAAAUUUAUACAUGACCCAAAAAUGAUCAACGAACCAAGUUACCCUAGGGAUAACAGCGCAAUCCAUUCCCAAAGCCCAUAUCGAAGAAUGGGUUUACGACCUCGAUGUUGGAUCAGGACCCCCUAAUGGUGCAACAACUAUUAAAGGUUCGUUUGUUCAACGAUUAAAGUCCU
This 512-nucleotide ribosomal RNA is filed under the name Chiropterotriton miquihuanus (Miquihuana splayfoot salamander). RNAcentral describes it as "partial 16S large subunit ribosomal RNA". It matches the Rfam family "Bacterial large subunit ribosomal RNA", at positions 1817 to 2597 of the family's 2925-position model. The record is from RNAcentral. Lineage: Eukaryota; Metazoa; Chordata; Amphibia; Caudata; Plethodontidae.